RNAcentral lists this ribosomal RNA (467 nucleotides) under uncultured bacterium. Its description in RNAcentral is "partial 16S ribosomal RNA". It matches the Rfam family "Bacterial small subunit ribosomal RNA", at positions 28 to 506 of the family's 1533-position model. The record is from RNAcentral.
GACGAACGCUGGCGGCGUGCUUAACACAUGCAAGUCGAACGGAAAGGCCCUGCUUUUGUGGGGUGCUCGAGUGGCGAACGGGUGAGUAACACGUGAGUAACCUGCCCUUGACUUUGGGAUAACUUCAGGAAACUGGGGCUAAUACCGGAUAGGAGCUCCUGCUGCAUGGGGGGGGUUGGAAAGUUUCGGCGGUUGGGGAUGGACUCGCGGCUUAUCAGCUUGUUGGUGGGGUAGUGGCUUACCAAGGCAUUGACGGGUAGCCGGCCUGGGAGGGUGACCGGCCACAUUGGGACUGGGGUGCGGCCCAGACGCAUACGGGGGGCAGGAGUGGGAAAUAUUGCACAGUGGGCGGAGGCCGGAAGCAGCAACGCCGCGUGCGGGAGGACGGCCUUCGGGUGGUAAACCGCUUUAGCCUGUGACGAAGCGUUAGUGACGGUAAUGGGUAAAGAAGCACCGGCAAACUACGU